Molecule: small nucleolar RNA, 75 nt
Filed under: Sparus aurata (gilthead seabream)
Lineage: Eukaryota; Metazoa; Chordata; Actinopteri; Spariformes; Sparidae
Source: RNAcentral
UGAGUGACAUGAUGAAACUCUUAAGCGGAAUCCUAAUUAUGUUGUGGAAACCUACCUUGGAGAACUGAUCAUUCA